CCUGACUGCUAUCGGAUUGAUACUAAGCCAUGCGAGUCGUUGUAGCAAUACAAGGCAGACGGCUCAGUAACACGUAGUCAACCUACCCUAUGGUCGGGGAUAAUCUCGGGAAACUGAGCAUAAUACCCGAUAGGUCAUAAUGCCUGGAAUGGUUUAUGGCCCAAAUGAUUUAUCGCCAUAGGAUGGGACUGCGGUCUAUCAGCUUGUUGGUGAGGUAAUGGCCCACCAAGGCAAUAACAGAUACGGGCUCUGAGAGGAGAAGCCCGGAGAUGGGUACUGAGACACGGACCCAGGCCCUAUGGGGCGCAGCAGGCGAGAAAACUUUGCAAUGUGCGAAAGCACGACAAGGUUAAUCCGAGUGUUUCCUGCUAAAGGAAUCUUUUGUCGAUCCUAAAAACACCGAUGAAUAAGGGGUGGGCAAGUUCUGGUGUCAGCCGCCGCGGUAAGACCAGCACCUCAAGUGGUCAGGAGGAUUAUUGGGCCUAAAGCAUCCGUAGCCGGCUGUGUUAGUCUCCGGUUAAAUCCAUAUGCUUAACAUAUGGGCUGCCGGAGAUACUGCACAGCUAGGGAGUGGGAGAGGUAGACGGUACUUGGUAGGAAGGGGUAAAAUCCUUUAAUCUACUGAUGACCACCUGUGGCGAAGGCGGUCUACUAGAACACGUCCGACGGUGAGGGAUGAAAGCUGGGGGAGCAAACCGGAUUAGAUACCCGGGUAGUCCCAGCUGUAAACAAUGCAAACUCAGUGAUGCGCUGGCUUGUGGCCAGCGCAGUGCCGCAGGGAAGCCGUUAAGUUUGCCGCCUGGGAAGUACGUACGCAAGUAUGAAACUUAAAGGAAUUGGCGGGGGAGCACCACAAGGGGUGAAGCCUGCGGUUC
This 875-nucleotide ribosomal RNA is filed under the name uncultured Nitrososphaerota archaeon. RNAcentral's name for it is "bacterial SSU rRNA". It matches the Rfam family "Archaeal small subunit ribosomal RNA", at positions 21 to 903 of the family's 1478-position model. The record is from RNAcentral. Lineage: Archaea; Thermoproteati; Nitrososphaerota.